CAAUACCUAGUGGCAGACGGGUGAGUAACACGUGGUCAACCUUCCCUUUAGUGGGGGAUAACUAGCCGAAAGGUUAGCUAAUACCGCAUACCAUCUAAACCCGGCAUCGGGAGUAGAUAAAAGGAGCAAUCCGCUUAAGGACGGGACCGCGUCCCAUUAGUUAGUUGGUGGGGUAACGGCCUACCAAGACUCCGAUGGGUAGCUGGUUUGAGAGAGCGACCAGCCACACUGGGACUGAGAAACGGCCCAG
Molecule: ribosomal RNA, 250 nt
Filed under: uncultured bacterium
Lineage: Bacteria
Description: partial 16S ribosomal RNA
Rfam family: Bacterial small subunit ribosomal RNA
Source: RNAcentral